RNAcentral lists this long non-coding RNA (1103 nucleotides) under Apteryx rowi (Okarito brown kiwi). RNAcentral describes it as "lncRNA (ENSARWG00000018736.1)". Lineage: Eukaryota; Metazoa; Chordata; Aves; Apterygiformes; Apterygidae. The record is from RNAcentral.
CUGUUGUGCUCCUCCCCAGGCUUGAUGCUGUAAGCUGGGCUGUGGCCUCUAGAUAAGUAUUCCAUGGCUUGCCACCAGCCAAGGGAAGGGAACAUGGCAGUUCUGCACAUGUAGCCACUACAUACUCAAAACCAGAAGUCACAAUAGCUCCAAUAAAAUCAUGUCCCUGAUCUUCUACAUGCUGGGAGUAGAGACUCCUGCCCUCCACCCCCUCUUCAUGAAAUUAUGGAAGAAAGCCAAGUAUUGUCUCUGCUGAGCCCUGAUUGUGGCACUGUGUCAGCACUGUGGGAAUCUCAUAAACCCACUGUAUAACCUAUCAAGUCAUUUCCUCACCUCACGUGAGAUUUGAGAAGGUUUGUCUCAACAAGUCUGCAGCCCAUUUACAAAGUUGACAGAUUGGAGAAGUGAUGUAACUUCACUGCAGAAAACUGUGUUUAUCUAAAAGAAGGAACUGUCAUGUAAUCUAGCCCUGAAUCACUACUGCUAUCUUCCAGUUUGUCACUGAGGCCAUAGGAUUUCUCUUUCCGUGUCUGUUGACUUUGGAAAAAUAUUCAUUGUUAGUGUCACAAACUGUUUUCUGCUUUUAAGAUCUUCACUCUUGAAUUUCAUGUCCUGUUUAUUCCACACUUAGAGAUCAGAAGGUUGGAUAAGACCACUGGGGUCAUUUCAGCUGCACUAUAAUUACAAGAUUAUCCUCUCCACUAAUCUCUCAACUGUUUUAUCUCAUCUACUUUGAACAUAGCUUUGUUGGUGCUUCAGUGACCUCCUUUGAAAAGCUACUCAACAGCCCAAUGGACUUUAUGGGCAGAUUUUUUUUUAUCAGGAGUUCCAGCUGAGCAGCUCCCUAAAGCGAUUCAGCAGGAGGCCAAGGAAGCCAGACUGAGGUCUGGAGGAAACCACUUGCCCCUGGGAGAGAGUUUGAACCCCAUGAGGGCAGAAACAGCAGCGUGCGUAUGGGCUUUGUACACGAAAAGCUGCAUUUUCUUCAUUAUUGGGCUGUAGGUCCAGCCCUCAGAAAACAAGAGAAAAGCAAAAAAGCUCAUUCAAAAGUCAGCUGAAAAAAUAUCUAGGAUUUCUGCCUCCCUCCACUUUGGAAGAGGUAA